GACGAACGCUGGCGGCGUGCCUAAUACAUGCGAGUCGAACGAACUCUGGUAUUGAUUGGUGCUUGCAUCAUGAUUUACAUUUGAGUGAGUGGCGAACUGGUGAGUAACACGUGGGAAACCUGCCCAGAAGCGGGGGAUAACACCUGGAAACAGAUGCUAAUACCGCAUAACAACUUGGACCGCAUGGUCCGAGCUUGAAAGAUGGCUUCGGCUAUCACUUUUGGAUGGUCCCGCGGCGUAUUAGCUAGAUGGUGGGGUAACGGCUCACCAUGGCAAUGAUACGUAGCCGACCUGAGAGGGUAAUCGGCCACAUUGGGACUGAGACACGGCCCAAACUCCUACGGGAGGCAGCAGUAGGGAAUCUUCCACAAUGGACGAAAGUCUGAUGGAGCAACGCCGCGUGAGUGAAGAAGGGUUUCGGCUCGUAAAACUCUGUUGUUAAAGAAGAACAUAUCUGAGAGUAACUGUUCAGGUAUUGACGGUAUUUAACCAGAAAGCCACGGCUAACUACGUGCCAGCAGCCGCGGUAAUACGUAGGUGGCAAGCGUUGUCCGGAUUUAUUGGGCGUAAAGCGAGCGCAGGCGGUUUUUUAAGUCUGAUGUGAAAGCCUUCGGCUCAACCGAAGAAGUGCAUCGGAAACUGGGAAACUUGAGUGCAGAAGAGGACAGUGGAACUCCAUGUGUAGCGGUGAAAUGCGUAGAUAUAUGGAAGAACACCAGUGGCGAAGGCGGCUGUCUGGUCUGUAACUGACGCUGAGGCUCGAAAGUAUGGGUAGCAAACAGGAUUAGAUACCCUGGUAGUCCAUACCGUAAACGAUGAAUGCUAAGUGUUGGAGGGUUUCCGCCCUUCAGUGCUGCAGCUAACGCAUUAAGCAUUCCGCCUGGGGAGUACGGCCGCAAGGCUGAAACUCAAAGGAAUUGACGGGGGCCCGCACAAGCGGUGGAGCAUGUGGUUUAAUUCGAAGCUACGCGAAGAACCUUACCAGGUCUUGACAUACUAUGCAAAUCUAAGAGAUUAGACGUUCCCUUCGGGGACAUGGAUACAGGUGGUGCAUGGUUGUCGUCAGCUCGUGUCGUGAGAUGUUGGGUUAAGUCCCGCAACGAGCGCAACCCUUAUUAUCAGUUGCCAGCAUUAAGUUGGGCACUCUGGUGAGACUGCCGGUGACAAACCGGAGGAAGGUGGGGAUGACGUCAAAUCAUCAUGCCCCUUAUGACCUGGGCUACACACGUGCUACAAUGGAUGGUACAACGAGUUGCGAACUCGCGAGAGUAAGCUAAUCUCUUAAAGCCAUUCUCAGUUCGGAUUGUAGGCUGCAACUCGCCUACAUGAAGUCGGAAUCGCUAGUAAUCGCGGAUCAGCAUGCCGCGGUGAAUACGUUCCCGGGCCUUGUACACACCGCCCGUCACACCAUGAGAGUUUGUAACACCCAAAGUCGGUGGGGUAACCUUUUAGGAACCAGCCGCCUAAGGUGGGACAGAUGAUUAGGGUG
This 1489-nucleotide ribosomal RNA is filed under the name Lactiplantibacillus argentoratensis. Its description in RNAcentral is "bacterial SSU rRNA". It matches the Rfam family "Bacterial small subunit ribosomal RNA". The record is from RNAcentral. Lineage: Bacteria; Bacillati; Bacillota; Bacilli; Lactobacillales; Lactobacillaceae.